This 468-nucleotide ribosomal RNA is filed under the name uncultured bacterium. Its description in RNAcentral is "partial 16S ribosomal RNA". It matches the Rfam family "Bacterial small subunit ribosomal RNA", at positions 28 to 507 of the family's 1533-position model. The record is from RNAcentral.
GACGAACGCUGGCGGCGUGCUUAACACAUGCAAGUCGAACGGAAAGGCCCUGCUUUUGUGGGGUGCUCGAGUGGCGAACGGGUGAGUAACACGUGAGUAACCUGCCCUUGACUUUGGGAUAACUUCAGGAAACUGGGGCUAAUACCGGAUAGGAGCUCCUGCUGCAUGGUGGGGGUUGGUAAGUUUCGGCGGUUGGGGAUAGACUCGCGGCUUAUCGGCUUGUUGGUGAGGUUGUGGCUUAACAAGGCUUUGAAGGGUAGCCGGCAUGAGCGGGUGACCGGCGACAUUGGGACUGAGAUACGGCGCAGAAUCCUACGGGAGGCAGCAGGGGGGAAUCUUGCGCAAUGGGCGGAAGCGUGAUGCAGAAAUGCCGCGUGCGGGAUGACGGGUUUCGGGUUGUAAACCGCUUUCGACUGUGACGAAGAGUGAGUGACGGUACCGGGUAAAGAAGCAACGGCUAACUACGUG